Molecule: ribosomal RNA, 301 nt
Filed under: uncultured bacterium
Lineage: Bacteria
Description: partial 16S ribosomal RNA
Rfam family: Bacterial small subunit ribosomal RNA
Source: RNAcentral
CAGCCGCCGCGGUAAUACGAAGGGUGCAAGCGUUAAUCGGAAUUACUGGGCGUAAAGCGUGCGUAGGCGGUGAGUUAAGUCUGCUGUGAAAUCCCCGGGCUCAACCUGGGAACUGCGCUUGCGACUGCACAGCUAGAGUAUGGCAGAGGGGAGUGGAAUUCCACGUGUAGCAGUGAAAUGCGUAGAGAUGUGGAGGAACAUCGAUGGCGAAGGCAGCCACCUGGGCCAAUACUGACGCUCAUGCACGAAAGCGUGGGGAGCAAACAGGAUUAGAUACCCCCGUAGUCCCUGUCUCUUAUAC